This 1605-nucleotide ribosomal RNA is filed under the name Semnornis frantzii. RNAcentral's name for it is "16S ribosomal RNA". The stretch from base 89 to 1492 matches the Rfam family "Bacterial large subunit ribosomal RNA". Lineage: Eukaryota; Metazoa; Chordata; Aves; Piciformes; Ramphastidae. The record is from RNAcentral.
AGCCCAAUCCUAGCCCGCCCCCCCCCCCCCAGUAACAAACAAACUUCCCCCGCUAACUAAAACAUUCAACACACCUAGUAUAGGCGAUAGAAAAGUUAACCUCUCCCCGGCGCUAUAGAAAGCUUUGUACCGUAAGGGAAAGAUGAAAUAGCAAUGAAACACCCAAGCACAAAACAGCAAAGAUUAACCCUUGUACCUUUUGCAUCAUGGUCCAGCAAGAAACAACCAAGCAAAGCGACCUUAAGCUUGCCACCCCGAAACCCGAGCGAGCUACUUACAAGCAGCUAACAUCUGAGCUAACCCAUCUCUGUAGCAAAAGAGUGGGAUGACUUGUUAGUAGAGGUGAAAAGCCAAACGAGCCGAGUGAUAGCUGGUUGCCUGUGAAAUGAAUCUAAGUUCACCCCUGACCUCUCCACACAAGGCUCCCUCACCCCGACGAACCCCCAUGAAGCAAGUCAGGAGUUAUUUAAAGGAGGUACAGCUCCUUUAAAAAAGAAUACAGCCUCCAACAGCGGAUAACCAUAUUCUCUUAACCAACUGUUGGCCUUUAAGCAGCCAUCAACAAAGAGUGCGUCAAAGCUCCUAACAAAAAAAUUCCACGACCCCCCCCCGCGAAUCCCUUCCCACUAACAGGCCAACCUAUCCCGAUAGGAGGAUCAAUGCUGAAAUAAGUAACUAGGGAAUCCCCUCUCAAGCGCAAACUUACAUCUCUCAUUAUUACUCAAUACAUGAUACCCCCACCCAACAAGCACACCCUAUCCUAAUCGACUUUGUUACACCAACCCAGGAGCGCAACAAUAGAAAGACUCAAAUCUGUAGAAGGAACUAGGCAAACACAAGGCCCGACUGUUUACCAAAAACAUAGCCUUCAGCGUACCAAGUAUUGAAGGUGAUGCCUGCCCAGUGACCCCACCACGUUCAACGGCCGCGGUAUCCUAACCGUGCAAAGGUAGCGCAAUCAAUUGUCCCAUAAAUCGAGACUUGUAUGAAUGGCUAAACGAGGUCUUAACUGUCUCCUACAGACAAUCAGUGAAAUUGAUCUCCCCGUGCAAAAGCAGGGAUAGAACCAUAAGACGAGAAGACCCUGUGGAACUUAAAAAUCGCAGUCACCGCCCAACCCUAUCCAAACCUACCAGGCCCUCCCCAUCCUGCACACACUGACCUGCAUUUUUUGGCUGGGGCGGCCCUGGAGCAAAACAAAACCUCCAGACACAAGACCCUGUUCUUGACCAAGAGCAACCCCUCAACGUACUAACAGUCACCAGACCCAGCAUGACUGACCAAUGAACCAAGCUACCCCAGGGAUAACAGCGCAAUCCCCUUCAAGAGCCCAUAUCGACAAGGGGGUUUACGACCUCGAUGUUGGAUCAGGACAUCCUAAUGGUGCAACCGCUAUUAAGGGUUCGUUUGUUCAACGAUUAACAGUCCUACGUGAUCUGAGUUCAGACCGGAGCAAUCCAGGUCGGUUUCUAUCUAUGACAGACUUUUCCUAGUACGAAAGGACCGGAAAAAUAAGGCCCCUACUCCAAGCACGCCUUCACCCCAAGCAAUGAACUCAACUGAAUUGCCUAAAGGACUAAACACCUCCAUCCUAAAAAAGGAAAG